AAUCAACGCUGGCGGCGUGCCUCAGACAUGCAAGUCGAACGAUUAAGACUCUCUUCGGAGAGUGUAUAAAGUGGCGCACGGGUGAGUAACACGUAGGUAAUGUACCGAAGGGUGGGGAAUAACUUAAGGGAAACUUAAGCUAAUACCGCAUAAUGCAGCGGCUCGACAUCGAGACAGUUGUUAAAGGAGCAAUCCGCCUUUUGAGCAGCCUGCGGCAGAUUAGCUAGUUGGUAAGGUAAUGGCUUACCAAGGCUACGAUCUGUAACCGACCUGAGAGGGUGGUCGGUCACACUGACACUGAAUAACGGUCAGACUCCUACGGGAGGCAGCAGUCGGAAUUUUGGGCAAUGGGCGAAAGCCUGACCCAGCAACGCCGCGUGAAGGAUGAAGUAUUUCGGUAUGUAAACUUCUUUUAUUUGGGAAGAGACCCACGAUUCUAUUGUGGUUGACGGUACCAGAUGAAUAAGCACCGGCUAACUCCGUGCCAGCAGCCGCGGU
Molecule: ribosomal RNA, 498 nt
Filed under: uncultured bacterium
Lineage: Bacteria
Description: bacterial SSU rRNA
Rfam family: Bacterial small subunit ribosomal RNA
Source: RNAcentral